This 433-nucleotide ribosomal RNA is filed under the name uncultured bacterium. RNAcentral's name for it is "partial 16S ribosomal RNA". It matches the Rfam family "Bacterial small subunit ribosomal RNA", at positions 29 to 507 of the family's 1533-position model. The record is from RNAcentral.
AACGAACGCUGGCGGCAUGCCUAACACAUGCAAGUCGAACGAGACCUUCGGGUCUAGUGGCGCACGGGUGCGUAACGCGUGGGAACCUGCCCUUAGGUUCGGAAUAACUCCCCGAAAGGGGUGCUAAUACCGGAUAAUGUCUUCGGACCAAAGAUUUAUCGCCUUUGGAUGGGCCCGCGUUGGAUUAGCUAGUUGGUAGGGUAAAAGCCUACCAAGGCGACGAUCCAUAGCUGGUCUGAGAGGAUGAUCAGCCACACUGGGCCUGAGACACGGCCCAGACCCCCAGGGGGGAAAGAGGGGGGGAAUAUUGAAGAAGGGGAAAAGCCUGGAGCAACCAGUCCCGCGGAGGUAAGGAAGGCUUUAGGGUAGAAAACUUUUUUUCCCGGGGAUGAAAAUGACAUACCGGGGGAAAAAAGCCCCGUCUACCCCGGUG